RNAcentral lists this transfer RNA (75 nucleotides) under Candidatus Altarchaeota archaeon. RNAcentral's name for it is "Altiarchaeota archaeon tRNA". It matches the Rfam family "tRNA". From Rfam's summary of the family: Transfer RNA (tRNA) molecules are approximately 80 nucleotides in length. The record is from Rfam by way of RNAcentral. Lineage: Archaea; Nanobdellati; Candidatus Altarchaeota.
GGGCCCGUAGCUCAGGCUGGUUAGAGCACCGGACUUUUAAUCCGGGUGUCGCGGGUUCGAAUCCCGUCGGGCCCG